RNAcentral lists this ribosomal RNA (534 nucleotides) under Kluyveromyces lactis. Its description in RNAcentral is "LSU rRNA". It matches the Rfam family "Eukaryotic large subunit ribosomal RNA", at positions 68 to 647 of the family's 3401-position model. Lineage: Eukaryota; Fungi; Ascomycota; Saccharomycetes; Saccharomycetales; Saccharomycetaceae. The record is from RNAcentral.
ACACGGGAUGCUUAUACGGCGAGUGAAGCGGCAAAGCUCAAAUUUGAAAUCUGGCGUCUUCGACGUCCGAGUUGUAAUUUGAAGAAGGCAACUUUGUAGCUGGUCCUUGUCUAUGUUCCUUGGAACAGGACGUCAUAGAGGGUGAGAAUCCCGUGUGGCGAGGAUCCCAGUUAUUUGUAAAGUGCUUUCGACGAGUCGAGUUGUUUGGGAAUGCAGCUCUAAGUGGGUGGUAAAUUCCAUCUAAAGCUAAAUAUUGGCGAGAGACCGAUAGCGAACAAGUACAGUGAUGGAAAGAUGAAAAGAACUUUGAAAAGAGAGUGAAAAAGUACGUGAAAUUGUUGAAAGGGAAGGGCAUUUGAUCAGACAUGGCGUUUGCUUCGGCUUUCGCUGGGCCAGCAUCAGUUUUAGCGGUUGGAUAAAUCCUCGGGAAUGUGGCUCUGCUUCGGUAGAGUGUUAUAGCCCGUGGGAAUACAGCCAGCUGGGACUGAGGAUUGCGACUUUUGUCAAGGAUGCUGGCGUAAUGGUUAAAUGCCG